This 787-nucleotide ribosomal RNA is filed under the name uncultured eubacterium WD2125. RNAcentral's name for it is "bacterial SSU rRNA". It matches the Rfam family "Bacterial small subunit ribosomal RNA", at positions 9 to 789 of the family's 1533-position model. The record is from RNAcentral.
GAGUUUGAUCMUGGCUCAGAUUGAACGCUGGCGGCAUGCCUUACACAUGCAAGUCGAACGGCAGCACGGGGGCAACCCUGGUGGCGAGUGGCGAACGGGUGAGUAAUACAUCGGAACGUGUCCUGUAGUGGGGGAUAGCCCGGCGAAAGCCGGAUUAAUACCGCAUACGAUCUGCGGAUGAAAGCGGGGGAUCCUUCGGGACCUCGCGCUACAGGGGCGGCCGAUGGCAGAUUAGCUAGUUGGUGGGGUAAAGGCCUACCAAGGCGACGAUCUGUAGCUGGUCUGAGAGGACGACCAGCCACACUGGGACUGAGACACGGCCCAGACUCCUACGGGAGGCAGCAGUGGGGAAUUUUGGACAAUGGGCGAAAGCCUGAUCCAGCAAUGCCGCGUGUGUGAAGAAGGCCUUCGGGUUGUAAAGCACUUUUGUCCGGAAAGAAAACCUCGUGGUUAAUACCCGUGGGGGAUGACGGUACCGGAAGAAUAAGCACCGGCUAACUACGUGCCAGCAGCCGCGGUAAUACGUAGGGUGCAAGCGUUAAUCGGAAUUACUGGGCGUAAAGCGUGCGCAGGCGGUUCGCUAAGACAGAUGUGAAAUCCCCGGGCUUAACCUGGGAACUGCAUUUGUGACUGGCGGGCUAGAGUAUGGCAGAGGGGGGUAGAAUUCCACGUGUAGCAGUGAAAUGCGUAGAGAUGUGGAGGAAUACCGAUGGCGAAGGCAGCCCCCUGGGCCAAUACUGACGCUCAUGCACGAAAGCGUGGGGAGCAAACAGGAUUAGAUACCCUG